UACGUAUGGACCAAGCGUUGUUCGGAUUUACUGGGCGUAAAGGGCGCGUAGGCGGCGUGACAAGUCACUUGUGAAAUCUCUGGGCUUAACCCAGAACGGCCAAGUGAAACUGUUGUGCUAGAGUGCAGAAGGGGCAAUCGGAAUUCUCGGUGUAGCGGUGAAAUGCGUAGAUAUCGAGAGGAACACCAGAGGUGAAGACGGGUUGCUGGGCUGACACUGACGCUGAGGCGCGAAAGCCAGGGGAGCAAACGGG
Molecule: ribosomal RNA, 253 nt
Filed under: uncultured bacterium
Lineage: Bacteria
Description: partial 16S ribosomal RNA
Rfam family: Bacterial small subunit ribosomal RNA
Source: RNAcentral